This 62-nucleotide transfer RNA is filed under the name Lamprotula leaii. RNAcentral describes it as "tRNA-His". Lineage: Eukaryota; Metazoa; Mollusca; Bivalvia; Unionida; Unionidae. The record is from RNAcentral.
UAACGAAUAGUUUAAGUAAAACAGUAGGUUGUGGCUCUACAGAUGGGGCAGUCUUUCGUUAG